UACGAAGGGGGCUAGCGUUGCUCGGAAUCACUGGGCGUAAAGGGUGCGUAGGCGGGUAUUUAAGUCAGGGGUGAAAUCCUGGAGCUCAACUCCAGAACUGCCUUUGAUACUGAGGAUCUUGAGUUCGGGAGAGGUGAGUGGAACUGCGAGUGUAGAGGUGAAAUUCGUAGAUAUUCGCAAGAACACCAGUGGCGAAGGCGGCUAAAGGGCCCGAUACUGACGCUGAGGCACGAAAGCGUGGGGAGCAAACAGG
This 253-nucleotide ribosomal RNA is filed under the name uncultured bacterium. RNAcentral describes it as "partial 16S ribosomal RNA". It matches the Rfam family "Bacterial small subunit ribosomal RNA", at positions 524 to 776 of the family's 1533-position model. The record is from RNAcentral.